GGGGAAGUCGGAUAGCGGCCAAUUCCGCCAGUUUAAGGAUUCCCUCCUUCAGGGAAGUCGUCCACUGGUCCCGAAAGGGGCGUGGGUUCGAAUCCCACCUUCCUCA
Molecule: non-coding RNA, 106 nt
Organism: Hyaloraphidium curvatum
Lineage: Eukaryota; Fungi; Monoblepharomycota; Hyaloraphidiomycetes; Hyaloraphidiales; Hyaloraphidiaceae
Source: the annotation of a GenBank genome assembly